CAAGUAAAUAAAAGCUUACGAUGGAUACCUUGGCAUUUAGAAGCGAUGAAGGGCGUGACUACCAACGAAAUAUUUCGGUAAGCUGGAAGUAAGCUAUAACCCGGAAGUACCCGAAUAAGGAAACUUUAAAUACUGUCUAUUGAAUUUAUAAAUAGAUAAGAGCUAACUUAGUGAACUGAAAUAUCUUAUUAGCUAAAGGAAAAAAAAGCAAAAGCGAUUCUCUUAGUAGUGACGAGCAAAAUGAGAAUAGCCUAAACCACUUUAAUGAGUUCUAGUGGGGUAGCGGGACAACAAUAAAUUAAAAAUUAUGAGUUAUAUGAAUCAAUUGGAAUCUUGUACCAGAGAAGGUGAAAGUCCUGUAAUUUAAAGCUAAAAAAUUAGAUAGUUGUAUCCCAAGUAACAUAAGACACGAGAAAUUUUGUGUGAAUCAGCGAGGACCACCUCGUAAGGCUAAAUAUUACUAAAUGACCGAUAGUGAACUAGUACCGUGAGGGAAAGGUGAAAAGAAUCCCGAGAGGGAAGUGAAAUAGAGCAUGAAAUCGUUAGCUUACAAGCAGCAGAAGAAUGACUAAUCAUUUAACUGUGUGCAUGUUGAAGAAUGAGCCGACGACUUAUAAGUAGUGGCAGGUUAAAAUAUUGAAUAUUGGAGCCAUAGUGAAAGCGAGCUUUAAAAGAGCGUUAGUCAUUGUUUAUAGACCCGAACCCGAAUGAUCUAACCAUGGCCAGGAUGAAUUUUAAGUAACAUUAAGUGAAGGUCCGAACCGACUGAUGUUGAAAAAUCAGCGGAUGAGCUGUGGUUAGCGGUGAAAUGCCAAUCGAAUUCGGAGCUAGCUGGUUCUCCCCGAAAUGUGUUUUGGCGCAGCGGUUGAUGCUAUAGCUUAGGGGUAAAGCACUGUUUUUAUGUAGGCUAUGAAAGUAGUACAAAAUAAAUGCAAACUCUGAAUACUAAGCGUGUAGUCAACUAGUGAGACAAUGGGGGAUAAGCUUCAUUGUCAAAAGGGAAACAGCCCAGACCACCAUUUAAGGCCCUUAAAUAAUUACUAAGUGAUAAAGGAAGUAGAAUUGUUUAUACACCCAGGAGGUUUGCUUAGAAGCAGCAAUCCUUUAAAGAAUGCGUAAUAGCUCACUGGUUAAGUGAUUUUGCACCGAAAAUGAAUGGGACUAAGUAAUUUGCCGAAGAUGUGGGAUGUUUAUAUCGGUAGGGGAGCGUUCUGUUGUAGUUUGAAGCAUUAAUGAAAAUGAGUGUGGACGAAUCAGAAGUGAGAAUGUCGGCUUGAGUAGCGAAAACAUUGGUGAGAAUCUAAUGCCCCGAAAACCUAAGGUUUCCUUUGAUAGGUUCGUCCGCGAAGGGUGAGUCAAGGCCUAAGGCAAGGUUGAAAAACGUAGUUGAUGGAUAACAGGUUAAUAUUCCUGUACUGUUUAUUAUUGAUAUUAAGGGACGAAGAAGGCUAAUUCAUCCGGGUAUUGGUUACCGGUUUAAACUUAUAAGGUGAAGAAGAAUAGAGAAAAUAUUCUAAGCUAAAAAGUUAAUACAAGAUAUUAUAUUAUUAAAGUGAUUGAUGUCAUACUUCCAAGAAAAUCUUAUCAUAUCUUAAAUAAUAAACACUUGUACCUUAAACUGACACAGGUAGGUAAGUAGAGUAUACUAAGGGGCGCGAGAUAACUCUCUCUAAGGAACUCGGCAAAAUAGCCCUGUACCUUCGGAAGAAAGGGUGCCUUUAAUAAGGUUGCAAUAAAUAGGCCCAAGCGACUGUUUACUAAAAACACAGGUCUCCGCGAAGUCGUAAGACAAUGUAUGGGGACUGACGCCUGCCCAGUGCCGGAAGGUUAAAGAAAUUGGUUAGUAAUUUUACAAAGCUAAUAACUGAAGCCUCGGUUAACGGCGGCCGUAACUAUAACGGUCCUAAGGUAGCGAAAUUCCUUGUCGGGUAAGUUCCGACCUGCACGAAAGGCGUAACGACUUGGGCACUGUCUCAGAGAGAGACUCGGCGAAAUAGAAUUGUCUGUGAAGAUGCGGACUACCUGCACCUGGACAGAAAGACCCUAUGAAGCUUUACUGUAGCUUGAGAUUGAUUUUAGAUUUAUUUUGUGCAGUAUAAGUGGGAGGUAAAGAUGUUGCAUCACAAGAUGUAAAGGAAUCAAUAGUGAGAUACCACUCUAAUUAAAUUAAGGAUCUAAUCUUGAUGCCGUUAACCGGCCAAGAGACAUUUUCAGGUAGUCAGUUUGACUGGGGCGGUCGCCUCCUAAAAAGUAACGGAGGCGUACAAAGGUUUCUUCAGACUGGUCAGAAAUCAGUUUUCGAGUAUAAAGGCAAAAAGAAGCUUGACUGUAAGACCUACAAGUCGAGCAGAGACGAAAGUCGGUCUUAGUGAUCAGACAGUACUGAGUGGAAAGGCUGUCUCUCAACGGAUAAAAGUUACUCUAGGGAUAACAGGCUAAUCUCCCCCAAGAGUUCACAUCGACGGGGAGGUUUGGCACCUCGAUGUCGGCUCAUCGCAUCCUGGGGCAGUAGUAUGUCCCAAGGGUUGGGCUGUUCGCCCAUUAAAGCGGUACGCGAGCUGGGUUUAGAACGUCGUGAGACAGUUCGGUCCAUAUCCGGUGUAGGCGUUAGAGUAUUGAAAGAAUUUUUCCUUAGUACGAGAGGACCAGGAAAAACAUACCGAUGGUAUACCAGUUAUUGCUCCAGCAGUAAACGCUGGGUAGCUAAGUAUGGAUUGGAUAACCGCUGAAAGCAUCUAAGUGGGAAGCCUACCUUAAGAUGAAUACUCUUAAUAAGAUUACGGUAAGAUUAACCGUUUGAUAGGCGUUAAGUAUAAUUAUAGUAAUAUAUUUAGCUAAGACGUACUAAUAAAUCAAUAGCUUGAUAAAA
This 2869-nucleotide ribosomal RNA is filed under the name Harveyella mirabilis. RNAcentral's name for it is "large subunit ribosomal RNA". It matches the Rfam family "Bacterial large subunit ribosomal RNA". Lineage: Eukaryota; Rhodophyta; Florideophyceae; Gigartinales; Choreocolacaceae. The record is from RNAcentral.